UGCUAGAAUUGAACACAUUCGUAACCAAGUGGAGAGUGUAGUUAUGGGAAAUGGGUGUGAGUGAAAUCAUGAAUUGUGUGGAUGGGAUACAAAUUAUCCAAAACACGUGGAUGGCUAAGAUGAUCCGAUUGUAGGAUCUGGCUAUGAUUUAUUUGUUUCUCUACAAGCAGGUGUUGGGGGAGGAAUAGGAAUAGGAAUAGGAAGCAUGGACCCUGCACAGAUGGCAAUCCCUCUUCUCGCUAUAGCUACGGCGGCUGCCUUUACCUUCUAUGCAAUCAGAGAGAAAUCCAUGGAUGAUGUUGAUAUGUCUAACAUAGAGAAGCAACAAUAUAAUUCAUCUUUUAGUGGUAAGAAAAAGGGAAGAAAAAGAGUACAAGAUUGACAUUAAAAUGAUUGCAAAUGAAGACUUCAUUUGGAACUACAAGCAUACAAGAAAGUAAUAGUAUAGCUACUUAUGUGAACCUCAAAUGUGUUUCUAUGUUUUGAUGUUAAGCAUUGAAUUAAUUUGGAAUUAUGAAAUUAUUAUUUUUUGUUGAAAUUUGUAAUUAUAACAUGGCACCAUGCAAAGUUAUAUCCCCCACCUCAACUUAUACUUUAAAUUUUUCCUCAACAUAACUUCUCCAACAUAGGAUUUUAUGGAA
Molecule: long non-coding RNA, 641 nt
Organism: Cryptomeria japonica (Japanese cedar)
Lineage: Eukaryota; Viridiplantae; Streptophyta; Pinopsida; Cupressales; Cupressaceae
Exons: 2
Source: RefSeq, a predicted model, not a curated record